Molecule: unclassified non-coding RNA, 329 nt
Filed under: soil metagenome
Description: partial contains 5.8S ribosomal RNA, internal transcribed spacer 2, and large subunit ribosomal RNA
Rfam family: 5.8S ribosomal RNA (bases 1-120)
Source: RNAcentral
GAUGAAGAACGUAGCGAAAUGCGAUAAGUAGUGUGAAUUGCAGAAUUCAGUGAAUCACCGAAUCUUUGAACGCACAUUGCGCCCCUUGGUAUCCCGAGGGGCAUGCCUGUUCGAGCGUCAUUUCACCACUCAAGCCUGGCUUGGUGUUGGGCGACGUCCUCUUUGGGGACGCGCCUCGAAACGCUCGGCGGCGUGGCACCGGCUUUAAGCGUAGCAGAAUCUUUCGCUUUGGAAGUCGGGGCCCCGUCUGCCGGAAGACCUGCUCGCAAGGUUGACCUCGGAUCAGGCAGGGAUACCCGCUGAACUUAAGCAUAUCAAUAAGCGGAGGA